RNAcentral lists this ribosomal RNA (372 nucleotides) under uncultured soil bacterium. RNAcentral describes it as "bacterial SSU rRNA". It matches the Rfam family "Bacterial small subunit ribosomal RNA", at positions 26 to 398 of the family's 1533-position model. The record is from RNAcentral.
AGAUUGAACGCUGGCGGCAGGCCUAACACAUGCAAGUCGAGCGGUAGAGAGGUGCUUGCAUCUCUUGAGAGCGGCGGACGGGUGAGUAAUGCCUAGGAAUCUGCCUAGUGGUGGGGGAUAACGUUCGGAAACGGACGCUAAUACCGCAUACGUCCUACGGGAGAAAGCGGGGGACCUUCGGGCCUCGCGCCAUUAGAUGAGCCUAGGUCGGAUUAGCUAGUUGGUGAGGUAAUGGCUCACCAAGGCGACGAUCCGUAACUGGUCUGAGAGGAUGAUCAGUCACACUGGAACUGAGACACGGUCCUGACUCCUACGGGAGCAGCAGUGGGGAAUAUUGGACAAUGGGCGAAAAGCCCUAGACUACCGACGACC